This 199-nucleotide long non-coding RNA is filed under the name Lonchura striata (white-rumped munia). Its description in RNAcentral is "domestica (Bengalese finch) lncRNA (ENSLSDG00000003967.1)". Lineage: Eukaryota; Metazoa; Chordata; Aves; Passeriformes; Estrildidae. The record is from RNAcentral.
GGCGCGCGCCGCCGUGAGGGCGCCGCGGCGGCUUCCGGUUCCGCCGGGCGCGGCGGCCGCGGCGCUUCCCGGUCAAAGUAACAUCCAGUCAGGCUUUGCAUGGCAUGAGGCAGAAACAGGAUUUUCUAGCAUGCUGUGAAAUCUGAUCUCUGGAACUCUCAGUGAAGACAUCUACUUGAUACUUGCAAUGUAAAUUAGC